Long non-coding RNA from Carassius carassius (crucian carp), 1935 nucleotides. RefSeq lists it as uncharacterized. The transcript has 4 exons. The record is from RefSeq and is a predicted model, not a curated record. Lineage: Eukaryota; Metazoa; Chordata; Actinopteri; Cypriniformes; Cyprinidae.
AAGAUGCUGUUUAGGUGUCUCACACAAAGCAGUGUGUAACCAAUGAGAACCCUUCACCUGUUGGAGCCUGCACAGAAAUCUGCACAAUUGGAAGUGACAAGAUUCAUCAAAAGAGGCAAGAAAGACAGAGGGAAGGUUUUAUCCAUGAUGGAAAGACACGUCAAGCUAAAAAGGCCUGGACUGAUUCAAUGAACUAUGCACAUGGGUUGUUCCCAACUAGACAGGUGAAUCUCUUAAACCUGUUCAUCCACCUGCUGAAUUCAAGCUACAUGCACCUGUUGAGAAUGGUGUACACAAAGGCCUUUCUCAAGGCCUUUACAACUACAAAUACUACAUCACAAGGACUACAAGUGCCUGACAAGUGACCCCUGUGAGAAUCAUCUGUAUUCAUGUCAUGUGGUCAAAGGGCAGACUGUAAGAAUUACAGAAACCUCAGACACUUUGAUCUUCUGAGACAUACUAAAGACACACAGUGCAUUAACAUACAGACAUCUGUUCCCACAUCUCACUGAGAGAAAAUGCAGGAAACGCCUCUCUCACAUAUGCAACAGUUCCUUCUCAUCCCAUUCCUUCCCUUCACAUAGCACACUCAGAAUGGUCAAUAGUAGAAUAUAAUGGUCUAUAUUAAUGCAAGUGAUAUUUACAGCCAUGUUUGGUAUCAUUGGAAAUGUCUCAGUGCAACUGGUACAAUGGUCUCAGUCUUACAAAAGUAGAUUAUAAGAUAAUACAGAUCCGAAGAGUCAAGAGAUAUCUUGAUUACUGUGAUGGGAGUGCCCUUUCCUAUGGUCCUCCAUGUAAAUUACCCGCUAUUCCCAUUGAGUUGUAAAACCACCCAGGUUUGGGACCUGAGUUAAUGCAAAUUCCAAUUGUUAGUUCCUGUCUCCAUCUCGGGGGAUGUUUGUCUUGGUCUGAGGUAUUUAAACGAUUGCAGCAAGAGGAUCAGGGUGAUUUCUGUAGCCAGAAAGCCCGUAGUGUGUUGUGUGUCUCUUCACUUCAUACUAUGUAUUUUCUAAGGUCAGACCGAACACGCCGGAAACCUUCAUCCAGCACCGGAUACCUUCCUUGGGCCGAGUGCCUGGACCUUACAAAGUGGUGACUCAGCCGACGUGAUCUCCCUACUUAUGCGAGUGACGUCUUCCCAGCGCGAAUUUCAGAUUGAUUCUCUCUGAAGAUAUAAGGUUUGAGCUUCUUCCCUGUCUACAACUGCUGUGGUUGACCACUGUAAUUCUUUGGAGGACAGAUACCAGGAAGGUGUCUGGUCCCAUCUGCACCAAACCAGGACAACAGAAUUGUUAGAACAUAACCUGAAAAGUGGGAGAUGGAUGUGAAGACACUUGAAGGGGCCAUUCACACCUCACAGGAGAACAUCACCACACACAUAUCUACAUGGCCUCCCGGAUUAGAACCGGAACUAAAUGUUUGCAACACAGAUUGCUAUAGAUUAGAAUCCAUCCAUCUCCCAGACAUGAGCACAGAACACACAACUCCACCAAUGCAUCACCUCAUUUUGACUAUCCAGUCUGUACACUACAAACAGAAGACAAUGAUGGCUUAGAUUACAAACGUGGUACUCCACUAAAGAUCUAUUGUCCAUCUUCACACAGACAGAACCACAUAGCCUCACACACACAGGACAAUAGAAUUAAUUACAUUCCAAAAGAUACAACAUAUCUACUAUCUGCAACCGUCUAAACUCAUAAAACAACACUGUAACACACAUUUGCACGAAAAGUCACAGAUCGAUGGCGCAAAUUUUUGAACACAGAGGCAGACAAGCCUUUACAAUUUAAAAUAUUGAAUCUUUCCAAUUGUUAUUAGGAUGGUUGACAAGCCAGAGGGCCCCUGGUUUCCCAACACAUCACGAAUGACAAUAAACAUUAUUAAAAUAAUCAAAUAUGAAGUGCCUGCACUUCAUCUCUAUCAAUCAAUUAUAAA